This 102-nucleotide microRNA precursor is filed under the name Ectocarpus siliculosus. Its description in RNAcentral is "miR3469b stem-loop (esi-MIR3469b)". Lineage: Eukaryota; Phaeophyceae; Ectocarpales; Ectocarpaceae. The record is from miRBase by way of RNAcentral.
CACUCUCCGCCUCUGGGGUGGACAUGUGAACACCGUCGCCAUCCAACAGUACGCAUGUCGAGGAUGACGACGGUGUUCACAUAUCCACCCCAGAGGCGGAGG